AACGCACAUUGCGCCCUCUGGUAUUCCGGGGGGCAUGCCUGUCCGAGCGUCGUUACAACCCUCAAGCAUUGCUUGGUAUUGGGUACCGCCCUGAACGGGGCGCACCUGAAAUAUAGUGGCGGUCCAGCGAGACAUCGAGCGUAGUAAGAUUUCAUAUCCCGCUCCAGAUGCCUCUCGCGGCGACUUAGCCAACCAACGACGUAUUUAUUACCACGAUUGACCUCGGAUCAGGUAGGGAUACCCGCUGAACUUAA
Molecule: unclassified non-coding RNA, 254 nt
Filed under: Amanita sp.
Lineage: Eukaryota; Fungi; Basidiomycota; Agaricomycetes; Agaricales; Amanitaceae
Also listed under: 2 other names
Description: partial contains 5.8S ribosomal RNA, internal transcribed spacer 2, and large subunit ribosomal RNA
Source: RNAcentral